GACAUGCCAGGGCCGGCUGGGUGCCUUUGAGUGGGCACUGGGGGACCAUCACCUCGGCCAGGUAGACUCAAGGGCCACAGCAUCACCUAUCAGUGUGACACUCAGAGGGUAGCAGGAAUAUGGUUCCUCCUCUGUGGAAUGAAAGGCCCAUAAGGGUUGGCCACUAGCCCGUUACCUCCCUCCUUGGGAGAUGGGGCUGCAGCCUACACCUCCCCACCCACCACCCUGUGCCAGUCAUACUUUGGGGAGGGGGCGAGUGAGUGAGUGAGGGCAAAGACCAGGCAAGGAUUUAAGAGCCUCCCCAGCAACCUCAUAGCUCAGCCUGACAACUUGCAUUAGACUGACAUCCCUUCCGUUGCUCUGCCUGCCCCUUCCAAAGAGGCAUUUCUAUGUGCAUUAUAGUCCACCCUGCUACCACCUGGAGGAUGUCAAGCUUUUUUUUUUUAGAGUAGCAAAAGCCCUGGGAGGAAAGGGGUGACUUCAUGGGCAUUGGCCAGUCAGUGCUGAUCACUGCCAGUCAGUACACAUUCGUGGUGCAGCGGAGAUCUACUGUUUUUGACAUGUUGCAUCCAUCUUCUGCCUGCGCAUCUUUGGCACUGCGCGACCUUCAGUCAUGCAAGAGGUGUUGUGUGCGACAGACAUAAUGAGAGAUCCCCUUGGACUGUGAUAGGGAGGAGCCACAGAGAGGGCAAAGCUGGGCCGUGCUGGGCCGAAGGUGCUUCUUGGUAGUUUUCUGGGCUUUAUGGGAUAGUGGCCGAGAGAGCCGGGGCAGCUGUGGAACCGGCAGGACUCCGCUUUCCGAUCCUUCACCCACGAAGGAGAAACUCCUAGGAGCAUGCCUGGCACUUUUCCAAACCGACUUUUGGAAAGACUUGCCUGUGCGGAGUCUUGCAUGGGGACGUGGCCCGCAUCCGUGGGGUGCCGUUAGUUAUCCAGGCUCCUUUCCGUGAUCUCUCGUCAGUCCUCUUUGGAGAACCCGAUUCCCCUCCCCUCCAACCGCUUCUCUCUCUCUCUCUCUCUCUCUCUUCCUUUCUUUUUUCAAGCAGAGGUACCGAAAAGGAACGUGGCCCAGGGAAAGAGCGAGGGCCAAUGUGGGCAGAAUUUGCAGGCCUGAAAUUUCUGACCUUGGAGAGCAGCUCACCCGUCCUGUCCUCCUCCUUGUCAAACAGGAAGCGGGAUAGCAGGCAAAGGGUGGUUGCCAAAGGGCUCUGUGUGUCGGCGGAGAUCCAUGCGCAGGAGCCCCAGAGAGACCUGUCACAUGGCAGUCUGUGUGUAGAAGUAUUGAAUGACACAGGGGACAGGGGUGGGUGGGACAGUGGUUGGCAGGGGUGUGGGCCCAGGAACGGUGGGUAGGCAAACUUCCUACCCGUGGUGAGGGGGGGCGGGCAGGCGGGGGGAGCUCAGAGCUCCCGCGUUGCCGCAACAGGGCUGGUUCGUAGCUUGUUUGACGUCUUGCUUUGUUUCUUCUCUCUCCUGUUCUUGGACUUGUAAUACUGUGACUGUCUCCAUUAGCAACAUUUCCGGAUUUGAUGUUGUGAUUCUUCUUACUUAAUGUAAAGGGUUUAAAUAAAGCUUCUAGAUGUUCAACCUUCA
Molecule: long non-coding RNA, 1593 nt
Organism: Sphaerodactylus townsendi
Lineage: Eukaryota; Metazoa; Chordata; Lepidosauria; Squamata; Sphaerodactylidae
Exons: 2
Source: RefSeq, a predicted model, not a curated record